GGGGAUUUAGCUCAGUGGCAUAAGCACCUGCCUUGCAAGCAAGGGGUGAUGAGUUCAAUCCCUG
RNAcentral lists this transfer RNA (64 nucleotides) under Cavia porcellus (domestic guinea pig). It matches the Rfam family "tRNA". From Rfam's summary of the family: Transfer RNA (tRNA) molecules are approximately 80 nucleotides in length. Their secondary structure includes four short double-helical elements and three loops (D, anti-codon, and T loops). The record is from Rfam by way of RNAcentral. Lineage: Eukaryota; Metazoa; Chordata; Mammalia; Rodentia; Caviidae.